RNAcentral lists this ribosomal RNA (443 nucleotides) under SAR202 cluster bacterium. RNAcentral's name for it is "bacterial SSU rRNA". It matches the Rfam family "Bacterial small subunit ribosomal RNA", at positions 1 to 441 of the family's 1533-position model. The record is from RNAcentral. Lineage: Bacteria; Bacillati; Chloroflexota; Dehalococcoidia.
UAUAUUUAGAGUUUGAUCCUGGCUCAGGACGAACGCUGGCGGUGCGCCUAAUGCAUGCAAGUCGAACGAGCGACCCGGGCUUGCCCGGUUAGCUAGUGGCGGACGGCUGAGUAACACGUAAGUAAUCUGCCCCGAAGAGGGGGAUAAUCCAGAGAAAUCUGGCCUAAUACCCCGUACCUUCCUCUCCAGCCUGCUGGAUUGGAAGAAAGGUCUAGGCCGCUUUGGGAGGAGCUUGCGGCUUAUCAGGUAGUUGGUGGGGUAAUGGCCUACCAAGCCGAAGACGAGUAACCGGUGUGAGAGCACGAUCGGUCAGAGGGGGACUGAGACACGGCCCCCACUCCUACGGGAGGCAGCAGCAGGGAAUCUUGCGCAAUGGGCGAAAGCCUGACGCAGCGACACCGCGUGGAGGAUGAAGGUCUUAGGAUUGUAAACUCCUUUUAUCA